AUUUAUAUACGUUUAAAAAUUUAUAUACGUUAAAACAUGAAAGUUCUAUGUGUAUAUAGCUUUAAGGUCAAAUUGUGCUACAAGAUUUGUGAGGCAGGCACUUGUUUGGCUAUUUGAAGCCAUUCUCAACCCCUUUCUCUGUUGCUUCCUUUCUACUAUAGAGGAUGAAAAUCCAGAGUCUCCCUUCACCCUUCACCAGCCUCUCUCGUAGGCAAGGGUGGCCAUGUGACCCGUUCUGGCUAAUAAGAUAUAAGGGGAACUCUACUCAGGUCUUCCAGGAAAGAUAUUUUCCUUUCUAAUUGUGGUGAAGACUGCCAGGUAUCUGUUAUUUUGUUCUUCCCUUUUUUUUUUUUUUUUUUAGAACUUUUAAGUUUUAUCUGUGCAUAUGGCUACUAGGAAUAAAUACUGCAUUUUUCAGCCUCUUUUGUAGCUAGUUGUGGCUUUGUGACUAAAUCCUGGCCAGCAGAAUAUAAGCAAAAGUGUUUUGUGGCAACUUUCAGGAAAUUUCAUCAAAAGAAAGCUCUCAAGUGUCCUUUUUAUUCCUCCUUCCUCCAUCCUGCUGCCUGUAAUGUUGACAUGAUGGCUGGAGCUGCUGUAACCUUCUGGAACCAUGAAGUCACCUUGAGAAAGGAAACUGUGACUAGUAGAAUGACAAGAGAGAUGGAGCCUUGUUCUCUGAAGGGAUCACAGAAACACACUAGGCACGUGCUCACAUAUGGGCUUUAAUUGAUACUCUGCCUGGGAAUUGGUGUGGCAUCAUGGGAAAUAUAAAGGAAGUGAAGUGAUCACCUGUAUGAGAGUGAUGAGAUUAAUAUACUCAAAUAAUCAAAGGAGAAAAUAAAGAGUAAGUACAACUGGAUUCUCAUGCCUGCAAAUAGUAGGUGCUCAAAAGCAUUUGUUGGUUGGGUGAUUGGGAGAAGUCAAUGAUCUAGAAUCCUCAAAGAAACCUAAAGAAAAGGUUCAAGCAAGAGGCAGGAUAUAAGCUGGAUUUUGAAAGAUCAGCUGUAUUUAGAUAGAUAAGAGGGAAGUCCUACCCAGCAGUGGAGAACAUUGAACAAAACUGAAGA
This 1067-nucleotide long non-coding RNA is filed under the name Papio anubis (olive baboon). Its description in RNAcentral is "lncRNA (ENSPANG00000043671.1)". The record is from RNAcentral. Lineage: Eukaryota; Metazoa; Chordata; Mammalia; Primates; Cercopithecidae.